RNAcentral lists this ribosomal RNA (250 nucleotides) under uncultured bacterium. RNAcentral's name for it is "partial 16S ribosomal RNA". It matches the Rfam family "Bacterial small subunit ribosomal RNA", at positions 524 to 773 of the family's 1533-position model. The record is from RNAcentral.
UACGUAGGGGGCAAGCGUUGUCCGGAUUUACUGGGUGUAAAGGGCGCGCAGGUGGAUUUUCAAGUCAGAGGUGAAAUCUCACGGCUUAACCGUGAAAUUGCCUUUGAUACUGUUAAUCUUGAGUUCGGAAGAGAGAGAUGGAAUUCCAGGUGUAGUGGUGAAAUACGUAGAUAUCUGGAAGAACACCAGUUGCGAAGGCGAUCUCUUGGUCCGAUACUGACACUCAGGCGCGAAAGCGUGGGUAGCAAAC